GCAAGUCGAACGAACUCGGACUUCGGUCCUUAUGGGUGAGUGGCGAACGGGUGAGUAACACGUGAGAAACCUGCCCCGAAGUUUGGGAUAACUCAGAGAAAUUUGAGCUAAUACCAGAUGUCUUCUUUCAGCCGCAUGGUUGGUUGAGGAAAGAUUUAUCGCUUUGGGAGGGUCUCGCGACCUAUCAGCUAGUUGGUGAGGUAAUGGCUCACCAAGGCAUCGACGGAUAGCUGGUCUGAGAGGAUGAUC
Molecule: ribosomal RNA, 249 nt
Filed under: uncultured bacterium
Lineage: Bacteria
Description: partial 16S ribosomal RNA
Rfam family: Bacterial small subunit ribosomal RNA
Source: RNAcentral